UGUUUCGGCUAGGGGGCCAUCCCGGCUUACCAACCCGAUGCAAACUGCGAAUACCGGAGAAUGUUAUCACGGGAGACACACGGCGGGUGCUAACGUCCGUCGUGAAGAGGGAAACAACCCAGACCGCCAGCUAAGGUCCCAAAGUCAUGGUUAAGUGGGAAACGAUGUGGGAAGGCCCAGACAGCCAGGAUGUUGGCUUAGAAGCAGCCAUCAUUUAAAGAAAGCGUAAUAGCUCACUGGUCGAGUCGGCCUGCGCGGAAGAUGUAACGGGGCUAAACCAUGCACCGAAGCUGCGGCAGCGACACUGUGUGUUGUUGGGUA
This 321-nucleotide ribosomal RNA is filed under the name Salmonella enterica. RNAcentral's name for it is "partial 23S ribosomal RNA". It matches the Rfam family "Bacterial large subunit ribosomal RNA", at positions 911 to 1230 of the family's 2925-position model. The record is from RNAcentral. Lineage: Bacteria; Pseudomonadati; Pseudomonadota; Gammaproteobacteria; Enterobacterales; Enterobacteriaceae. RNAcentral also lists the same sequence under 5 other names.